RNAcentral lists this long non-coding RNA (1717 nucleotides) under Sus scrofa (pig). Its description in RNAcentral is "lncRNA (ENSSSCG00055004189.1)". The record is from RNAcentral. Lineage: Eukaryota; Metazoa; Chordata; Mammalia; Artiodactyla; Suidae.
GAGGAUGCGUGCGCCGCCCACUGCUGUCGCUGGAGCGUCUCGCAGUGAUGGCACGCGGGUCGUGCCUGUUGCUUGCGUCCAGCGCGCCGUGCCGGCCCCGGAUCUCCGCAGGCGCCGCACCGCCUGCCUGUCGAAAGGUCACGGCUGGAGAAAGAAUCUGGAGACUGAGGAGUAAUGCCUUUAAUGGCCUUCUGGGCUGGGUAUUCACCACAGCGUCCACCCUCAGCCAAGCCCGGGGGUUGGAACAGCUGCCAGAGGGAAAGAGAGCACCCCGUAAAAGAGGGCGGAGGUGGCGUCAGCUUAAACUACCCGGUACACCCAGGUUCCAGGCCCCGUCUUAACCUAAAAACACAGAAAUCACAGUCUGGAGCUUUCAUAACCACUCAAGAGUGUAGAAAGUUAUAGUAACACGAGGAAUGAUGCAACGUUAGAAGGGAGUACAGAAACCCCCAGAAUUAUUACCGGCGGCCUUGAAGUCAAAACGUCUUCCUCAAGUGAGAAAUGCCCUCUUGGCACUUCACCCACUUUCACCUUAGCUAAACCUUGGGGCUGCAAAGUAUAACCAUUUGGUGACCUCACGUCUCAUUGCUGGCAUUACCAGCUUGAGCAGCCAUCCCGUGACUGCAAAGGAACACGCACAUGUUAAGGAUGCUGGGUGAAGGGAAGAGAGAAGGUCCUGGCUCUCCGAGGACGUUGUGGAUAUUCCAGAUCAGCCCUGGACUAAAAAAGACGUAUAUGAUAGGGUUUCGAGAUUCAGUCCUCAGAGGAAAGCUCAAGGGGAAAUGGAGAGGGUGGGAAGAGUGAGACUGAGUUGGCGGAACUCUGCUCUGCCGUUUAACGCUGCGGAGGGCGCCGUGCUGAUCUCCGGCCCACAGUGGCGCCAACCCCCGCGUCCUGGCUUCCUGCCCCCCGAACCGAUGAACCCACUCACUCGCUGAGGAGGCCUCCUACAAGCCGUGAUUCUGCACUUGGAACCCUGGGCUGGCGCCGCGGAUGCCCUCGGGCAGCCCAUCUUCCACGGUCUGCGUUUCACGCAGGGGAAGCCGAGGCUCGGAGGCGCCCAGGGCCUGCUUAGAGUUACAGUCGGAUGCGUUUGCGGCAGAGGCGAAGCUGAUUUUCUAACCUGUGAACUGACACUGGAGUCCCCGACAGAACUGGGCUGGGGCCGCUGACCGUCUAAAGCCUAAACAAGGAGAAGGGACUGAUUCCCAGGCAAUGGAGCUCAAACUCCAAGAAGGCAUCCUUGCGCCUGGGUGGGGGGAAGGCGGCUCCCAGCUACGUGCUUCUGCAAGAUCCCCCAAAGGGCUGCCACCCUCUGUUCCACUGAGAAAUUAAACUCCGGCUUCGCCACCACGCUGGCUUUUCCACUAGAACGCUGUUUUGCGAAAGAGCUGGCGCUUUGCUAGAUUUCUUUUUCCUUAAGGCAUUUGCUUGGCAUUUCCGGGUCCUUGAUCAACAGAGGAACAUGAAGGGACAAAUGAGAAGAGACGGGGAAAUUCCACAACCAACCACUUAGAAAUUCAAUCCAAAACUUCCAUUAUAGUCUAGACCCAGCCUUUGUUCCUGUGAAAAAACUGUGGAUGUGGAAUAUUUUGUAAUAUGCGUUUUCUAUGUAAUCACCCACAAAACAUUCUGAAUUAACGUAAUAGCAAAUAUCUGAGUAUUUACGCUGUGCUGUGUCCAUGUUUUAUGCGGAUAAAAUACUUUAUGGUUGCAU